GUCAUUCACUGGCUCCUCAUCUUCCUUUCACACCCAUUUCCCCCCAGAUGCUAUCCUUAGCUCUCUUCUUUCUCUGUCUCUUCCUAGACAAUUUCAUCCACUUCUAUGGUUCCAUUAUUACCAUCUCUGUGUAGAUACUGUAUAUUUGUGUAGAUGAUACCCAUAUCUAUAUAGUCAUCCCUGAUAUCUCCCUUGAGCUCCAGUCCUGCUGGCAGAGACAUUACUAGCAAUUUUUUACCUUGAGAAAGUGUUAUGAAAUAACAUAACAUCAAAUCGACUUUGUAAGACAGUUAUGGUUGUCAGGGUACAGACCUAGGAUACUAAGAAGUUGCUGCUAAGUAGACCACUGCCUGAAGGGAUGUUCAUCUGAGAUGCAAUAAGACCUAGCAAACUGGAGGAAGGGGCCACCUGGAAUCCUGUCAUUACAGAUCGAAUGGGUCCUGUCGGGGGCCGGGUCCUAGAAGCUGGUGAGGGUCCUGGGCUUUUGGAGGACCAUGGCAUGUCUCUGAGGAGUUCACUCACACUCUUGGAUGGGGCCCUGGGCCUUGGAAUACUAGGACUCGGUGCUCGCCUUGUCCUGGCCCUAGCUGGACCAGGCAUGAUGCUCCUGCUGCUGUUUCUAAUGUUGAGUUUCCUGACCUUCGACCUUGUGCAUGGACCCCUGGAGUUGCCUCUGCCUCAAAGACCAACAUUUAGACCCCUUGGGGCAGGGGGUGAAGGCCCCCACUUACAAGAACCAUUGCUCCCACCUACCCUGAGCCAAGUCCUGGAUGGAUUCCUGCUCUUCACCGGCCUGGGGCUCAUCUUUGGGGCCCUGAUGCCCUUCAGUAUCUUCAGCCUUAUAAUCAGCCUACAGGCUCUGGCCGGAAGCAAAGCCUCUGUUCUCUAGGAACCAGCAGGUUAAAAGAGCCUUCUCACAGAAAACACAUGAGGAUUGUCUCAGCCUCUGCCUCUGAAUUUCCUUUCCUGCUAUCUUUAGGCCAUCCUGGGAUGAGUUGCUUGAAAAGAAGAUCCCAGACUAGUUCUAGGUCCCAGGGUUUGAAAAUGAAUGCAGAGGCCC
This 1060-nucleotide long non-coding RNA is filed under the name Phascolarctos cinereus (koala). RNAcentral's name for it is "lncRNA (ENSPCIG00000000679.2)". The record is from RNAcentral. Lineage: Eukaryota; Metazoa; Chordata; Mammalia; Diprotodontia; Phascolarctidae.